UUUUAGCCCCGAUAGUAGUGGAAAUCCUUUUCCUUUUUGCUGCCAAAAAGGGAAAGAUUGCAAUCUCGUUUUAGAACGAGACGGGAU
Molecule: small RNA, 87 nt
Filed under: Flavobacterium sinopsychrotolerans
Lineage: Bacteria; Pseudomonadati; Bacteroidota; Flavobacteriia; Flavobacteriales; Flavobacteriaceae
Description: Flavo-1 RNA
Source: RNAcentral